Molecule: non-coding RNA, 150 nt
Filed under: Candidatus Nitrotoga fabula
Lineage: Bacteria; Pseudomonadati; Pseudomonadota; Betaproteobacteria; Nitrosomonadales; Gallionellaceae
Also listed under: 3 other names
Source: RNAcentral
GAGAGCCGGAUGCGGGAAAUCUGCACGUCCGGUUCGAUGAGGGGGAUGUGGAAACGGAGUUAUGGCAAGGUUAUUUAGGCACCGCCAGACGAAAGGGGCAGUCAACAGACAAGCCGAACCUACAGCCACCGCGCCACAUCUCUACUCUAC